UACAAAAACAAAACAAACAAAAACAAACAAAAAACCACAAAAACAAAAACAAAAACAAAACAAAAAAAUCACCACCCAAAAACAACCCACAACAAAAACACAAUGAUUGCUACUAACUUAGCACACGACCGUCUAUGCACCGAAUAUACAUUGUGCAUGGUAUUAAAGAAAGUACUUACCUCACAGAAAGGCCGAUAUCUCAGGAAAAACUGGAAAGCCCCGGGUCUAUUUUGCGUUUUAAAAUAGAUAAUACGGGAAAGCUGUCAGCCAAAUAUUGGGAAAAAGCACAUAGUCCUUUAUAGCGGAGUUCCCAGAGGCGCUUUAUACAGCUCAGUUUGAACAGAAUUUGGGACAUGGGGAACACACAGACAUCCUCUUCGGCAACUCUCAGCUACAACGGCACCACCGUGUCCGCCAACGCUACAGGAUCCCACACAUCAAGGGUGGCCACAUCAACCACGAGGCCGAACGGAUUUACAGCAGUCGAUCUAGCGGUCUCGAACGACAGUGUCACUGCCUCCUGUGUAGAUGUGCAAGUAUUUGAGCGAAGACUGGUUUUGGAUAGCUGUCAUUCCUAGGAGUUAAUGCUUUACAAAUAACACUUAAAAUUCGAGUUUACCAAGGCUAACAGUGUAAACAAUGGCACAUUCUGAGAUAUUUAAUCGAGAGCUAUAAAUGUAUUGUGGUCUCAUGUCCUCUGUCCUCUUUGUUCUUAAAGGAACAGACCCUAGUUUCAGCCCACGAAAAUGCACACUAAGUUUAGUUAAUCUACAAACCUGUGACACAUUUGGAUAAAGUCUGUGACUUUGAAACGGUGAAACACCCUCUAAAAAUAGACACUAAAACUCGACUCCAUAACUGUUAUUCCUUACCUGCUACACAAAGAGGAACAUUUUGUUUAAAUUAUUGAUUCCCCCCAUAAUAAAUUUAUGCAUUAAUAUGAA
Molecule: long non-coding RNA, 944 nt
Organism: Gigantopelta aegis
Lineage: Eukaryota; Metazoa; Mollusca; Gastropoda; Neomphalida; Peltospiridae
Exons: 3
Source: RefSeq, a predicted model, not a curated record